Fukomys damarensis (Damara mole-rat) is the source of this 1561-nucleotide long non-coding RNA. The record is from Ensembl. Lineage: Eukaryota; Metazoa; Chordata; Mammalia; Rodentia; Bathyergidae.
CUGGUACAUUCGUUAUUCAAUAUUAGUUUAUUAGUAGUAAUUAUAACAAUAUUUACGAUUCUGGAGAAAAUCCAUAUUUGUAAUACUUGUGACUUAUUUUUUUCCUCACACUUUUCUGUUUCAUUGCUAUUAAAAUCAGAAGGGGUUUGAUACACUGUUAAAAAGAAAUAUGACUCGUUCACUGUUUCCCAAAUUUCCCAGAUCAUAUUAUUCAGAGAGGACUGGGGAGUUCACCUCAAAAGCACAGACACCCAAGCCCAAAACACUGAACUAUCUUUAAUGAAUAAAUCUGUUAAUCUGGUCAGCUUCGCAGUGAGUCUUAUAAUCAGGCUUUCCUGGGAUAUGCCUGGCUGGGAACGCCAGGCAGUUGCACCUAUCACGGGGGCCAGAGCCUACAAUUCCCAUGCUGCCCCCACGAACUCGCACAGAGCGAUCUCAAAGCUUGCUGGGAGUUGUAGUUUCUGUGGGACAGGCCUCUGCCUAUAAGAACGCCGGAGAUGGUUGCAGAAAACUAACUAUCCCACAAUGCAAAGGCCUUUUGUGACGUCAUCGGCCGCGGGCCGGGAACGCAGAGGUCGGCGUCCUCUACCACCACCUCGGCAGCCGCCACCACCGCCGCUGUCCUCGCCGCCGCCCCCACUUACACCACUGCUUUGGCCUGCUCCGCCGCCGCCCCCACCGGCAACUCCAUCGCUGCCUCUGUGGGGGCUUCCGCCUCUUUUGCAUAAUCUAAGCCCUCAGCCUCGGAGAAAAAGCCGUACAGAGUUUGUUUCGCUGGCCCGGGGCGCAGGCAUGGCUGAUGGCGGUAGCGGCGGUGGAGCGGGCGCUGUGGNCGGGCCGGAGGAGCUUGCCUGGAAAAGCCCGACCAGAGGGGAUUAAAACUGACAGCGUUUAGAGACAGACUGCGCCCCAAAUGACCUUAGUGCCCGAAGACCAGGCUCCAGGGAAGUUUUUCAUCUUAAUUAACUCGUCUUGCGGACAUCUAAAAUUAACGGAGCAAGAAGGCUGAGCCCAGGACGGAAUGGGCAGAUGUUUCCUUUAAAGUGAUUGUUUCAUUUUUCAAUUGCGCAAAUGACAUAGUCUGAACAUUUAGGGUUACUGUGAAUUUCCUUCUCUAAUGUCACCGUUCCACUUGCUUUCCUCUAGCAACAAGGAUCUUCCCAGAAUUCCUGUGUGCACACACGUGUGUGUUUGCGUGGAUGAUUUGGAUUUGUCAACACAAUUCUUUACACAAAUACCAUCUCUAUAUAGAAAGAUGAACAUUUCUGGGAAUUGCAUUUUUAAAUUUAAUAAAAUGGGAGGAUCAUUAUGUGACGUGUAUUAAGUUCCUCUCCUCUUCACAUGACCCUCUGAAGUAAAGGUUAUUGUCAUCUCUCAUGCUGCAGACAAACCAUAGCACAGAGAUGUUAAGCAAAUUAUCCAAGAUCACAGAGCACACACAUGGCAAAGCUGAUAUUUAAACGCUGGCCAUCUGGCUUUGGAGCAAAGGUGCUUACUCACUCUUCUGUUAUGCUGCAUUGUAAUCACGACAUCACAGUCUACAAAGAGAGAGAAAGGCCUG